GGAGGGGUGACGGAGCGGUUUAUCGUGGCGGUCUUGAAAACCGUUGCGGGACUUAGCGCCCGCCGUGGGUUCGAAUCCCACCCCCUCCGCCA
This 92-nucleotide transfer RNA is filed under the name Bacillota bacterium. Its description in RNAcentral is "tRNA-Ser". It matches the Rfam family "tRNA". Rfam says of the family: Transfer RNA (tRNA) molecules are approximately 80 nucleotides in length. RNAcentral also lists the same sequence under 2 other names. Lineage: Bacteria; Bacillati; Bacillota. The record is from RNAcentral.